Long non-coding RNA from Astatotilapia calliptera (eastern happy), 2084 nucleotides. The record is from Ensembl. NCBI's taxonomy places the organism in Eukaryota, Metazoa, Chordata, Actinopteri, Cichliformes, Cichlidae.
GGGGGGGGGGGGGUCUUGGAAGAGACCACUCCCAUCAGGAUGAUAGAUAAUCACUGUCAAUGACUGAGUGACCCAUCACUAAAUGAGGCGGUCAGAGUUUGAUUUGUGGGCGUGUCAUGUUCAGCUCACUGAUGCUGUGACAAAACAGGACCGUGUGUGUGUGUGUGUGUGUGUGUGUGUGUGUGUGUGUGUGUCUUGUUGUUGAAGUGUUAUCAGGACAGGCCUGCACCCUGACACCACCCUGAUUGUGAUUGUUGUCACACAGAAGCAUGAGUGUGUUUGUGAGGUCACAGUCUGAUGACACUUUUCGUUAGAAGUUGUGCUCCAUCAGGAUACGUGCCAUGUGUACAAAGACACAUUAAGCCAAGCAAACUGAGCUCUCUCCAUCAUUUAUCGCUUUGUGCCUGUUUGCAUCCAUUCUUUACUGCCAUCUUGCUCUCUGCAGCUUCUCUCCUCCUGCUACCCCCCAAAAACCCAUCUCCAUAGAGACUGUGUCAGCUCCCAAACAGACAAAAAACAAACUAAAAACCAGCAACAAACAACUUGAACAUAAAAAAUCACAAAGAAAGAACAAUACAGUAUCCACAUCUGAACCAAAGAGUAACACAGUGAAAUGUGGAUUAUUAAAUAUUAGGUCUCUCUGCUCCAAGUCUGUUAGUACAUGACUUAAUAACUGAUCAACAAAUCGACUUACUCUGCCUUACGUCUUGAUGCAUGCUCAAUCAUCCAGGUAAGGAAAUCUCCAAAAGUUGAUUCUGUUCAUCUGGACGUUUUCAGUGGGAGAAACGUUUUGUCGUCAUCCAGGUGACGUCUUCAGUCUCAGCUGACUGCAGGUUUCAACCUUAUAAACAGGACAUAAUGACUGAAACCAGCCCAGUGAAGGAACAAUGGGCUGGGAGGUGACAGAAUGAUGCACCAACAAUGACCAACUGAGGCCACAAGAUGGCAGCGUGAAGGCUGGAUGCACACUGGCAGGCCAGGAGCUUUGGCUGCUUUACUUUAGACAUAAUUGAAACGUACCAUUGUUAGAUUUGCAGUGCUCGUCCUGAUCACUGUCUUUAUCAGAAUCAGAAUACUUUAUUCAUCCCGAGGGAAAUUAGGGUUACAGCAGGCAGCACGCUAAUGGCGCAUGCACACUUACAAAGGAACCUUCUGACCAACUUUACACAAACAUCACAUUGGGCAGACAUGUCAGAAAGGUAGGCUGAUAGGAAAAAAACAACGAAAAUACAUAACAUGAGGUAAGAGGAGGAGAAAAAAAAAACUCCACUCAGACUGAGCUCCUAGUGGGAGAACAGUUUGAUAACAGAAAAAACAAAAGCACAUGACUAUCAAUACACCAUAGAAACACGAGACAAGCAACAGGGCGGGUAAAGGGUAAGAGAGAGCCGGCGUAGACAGCGCAUCCGGUCCUGCAGCAUCUGUGCUGGUCCAGUUGACUGCCAUCUACCCCGGUAGGGCACAAGCAUCGAAGGCGUUGGAAAGGGAGGGGGGAUGAGUGAGUGCUUAUCAGUGUAAGUGUGUGUGUGUGCGUGUCCAUAGUUUAGCUGAGACAGUGUCCUUCGGCCUAUCAGGCUAAGUAAACAGUCCUCCAGCCAAUCCAGGUGUCCUUGCAUGGGAUGGGAAGAAUAGCCGUAACACAGUCGUUAUCAGGGAGUGAUUGUUCGGCUCCAGCCUUGGGCCUGCAGCUGGCGCCGUUAUGGGGAUCCGCAAUGUUUAUGUUGGUUUUGUUAAUUUCAUGCGAGCAGCCCAGGAGAAUUUUCAGGCUGCUCUUUAACACUCUGACACUGGCCUCUCGAUCUCCCGUUGGAGAGUCGCGAGCCUCCCCAUGAUGGUAUCAAACUUCUGUUCCAUGGUGUUAUCGUUCUUUUGAUUCUGAGACCUCACAGCUGCAGUGAUCCGUUCCGCGAUGUUUUCCAACUGUCGCUCAAGGGUCUCAUUUUGAGCAGGCCUCUCUCUGAUGUAUCCCCCCAUACGCUCAAUGGUGUUGUUUUGAGCCUUCACAGCAGCUGCAAGCGUCUCCAAGGUGUUGAUCAUAUUACGUUCGUUGUGAGAGGUCGCGCCUCGUUCCAUUUCGAUUCCAG